This 262-nucleotide ribosomal RNA is filed under the name uncultured Leptolinea sp. RNAcentral describes it as "partial 16S ribosomal RNA". It matches the Rfam family "Bacterial small subunit ribosomal RNA", at positions 1108 to 1380 of the family's 1533-position model. The record is from RNAcentral. Lineage: Bacteria; Bacillati; Chloroflexota; Anaerolineae; Anaerolineales; Anaerolineaceae.
CUGUGUGUUAUAUGUGUCACACGGGACUGCCGGUCUUAAGCCGGAGGAAGGUGGGAUGAUGUCAAGUCAGCAUGGCCUUUAUAUCCUGGGCUACACGACACGCUACAAUGGCCAACACAAUAGGUUGCUAAGCCGCGAGGUGGCGCCAAUCCAUAAAGUUGGUCUCAGUUCAGAUUGUAGGCUGCAACCCGCCUGCAUGAAGAUGGAGUUGCUAGUAACCGCAGGUCAGCUAUACUGCGGUGAAUACGUUCCCGGGGCCGUU